Molecule: long non-coding RNA, 2325 nt
Filed under: Homo sapiens (human)
Lineage: Eukaryota; Metazoa; Chordata; Mammalia; Primates; Hominidae
Description: HSALNT0407674
Source: RNAcentral
CAUGAAUAAUCCAGCCCACGUUUAACAUAUAAUUGAGAAAUAACUAGAAGUAUCCUUAAUGGAGCAGUGCAAGCCACUGCUCUGCCUAUGGAGUAGCCAUUCUUUUAUUCCCUCACUUUCUUAAUACAUUUGUGUUUACUUUAUGGACUUGCCUUGAUUUCUUUCUUGUGUGAGAUCCAAGAACCCUCCCUUGGGGUCUGGAUUCAGACUCCUUUCUGGUAACAUCUUUCUGGCAAACCACUAAGGGAUUAUACUGAAAUGACCCCCGACCCAAAGGAAAAUCUUCUGUGUGCAGCACCACUUGGCCAACUUUGGGUAAGUGAGGCGCAUUUAACUCGGUAAAGAAUGGAAUUGGGUUAGAGACCCAACUUAGAAAAGUUAGAGUCUGCCCUAAGAUAGAGAGGGUUAAAGACCCCCUCUUAAUAAAAGGCAAGGGUGCUUGACUGAACCUGUUUGGGGCCCAACUUAGGAAGGUUAGAGCCCUUCCUAAGAUUUAUGGGGUUGGAGGCCCCUCUCAGUAAAGUUCCUCUCGGCUAAAAGUGGGUUUGGCACUACUGGAUGUUAACUGCUAUUUUCUUUGGACUUAUCUGCCUUGCACUCUUUGCUGAUGGCUACGGGAGACAGAAUUAAACAUAUUCAGGAUCAAAGGACAUGGCGAGCUAUUUUUCCCCAAAAGGGAGACACUCGAGAGCUGAUGGGACUUCUGGAGCCAAUAAAACUUUUCUUUUGAGUGAUUUGCAGCUUUUAACAAACUGAACCUGCUUAUUUCUGUGAACCAACCAGUGAUCUCUUAUGGCUGUUCAAAAGUAACAAGAGAGAUAUCACCUUUUGUCAUAACUCAAGUCUUAUGAAUGGCCCUCACCAUAAUGAUGCUUUUUGACUGAGCUCUUCUCUAACCUGAAUGCAAGAGGUUAGGCAUGAAUAUCAUCCCCCCUGUUCAGCCUGAAGAAGUUACAGAAGAUGAAUCUUCCACUCUCUACAGCCCUUAGGAUUAAGGGUUCUCUUACUGAAUGUAUUCUUAAACUGAACACUUAUUAAUCUUCCAGAUAUCACCUUUUGUCAUAACUCAAGACUUAUGAAUGGCCCUCACCAUAAUGAUGCUUUUUGACUGAGCUCUUCUCUAACCUGAAUGCAAGAGGUUAGGCAUGAAUAUCAUCCCCCCUGUUCAGCCUGAAGAAGUUACAGAAGAUGAAUCUUCCUCUCUCUACAGCCCUUAGGAUUAAGGGUUCUCUUACUGAAUGUAUUCUUAAACUGAACACUUAUUAAUCUUCCAGAUAUCACCUUUUGUCAUAACUCAAGACUUAUGAAUGGCCCUCACCAUAAUGAUGCUUUUUGACUGAGCUCUUCUCUAACCUGAAUGCAAGAGGUUAGGCAUGAAUAUCAUCCCCCCUGUUCAGCCUGAAGAAGUUACAGAAGAUGAAUCUUCCUCUCUCUACAGCCCUUAGGAUUAAGGGUUCUCUUAUAAAAGGGAGGGGGUAAAUAUGUCAGAGGCAUUUGAACCAGAGAAACUCCAUCUUGAAUAGUCCCUGUGUAAAAUAAGACUGAGACCUACUGGGAUGCAUUCCCAGGAGGUUAGGCAUUCUAAUUCACAGGAUGAGAUAAGAAGUCUCCACAAGAUACAGAUUAUAAAGAUUUGGCUGAUAAAACUGUUUGUGAUAAAGAAGCUGGCCAAAACACACCAAAACCAAGAUGCCAACAAAAGUGUCCUCUGGUUGUCCUCACUGCUCAUUAUAUGCUAAUUAUAAUGCAUUAGCAUGUUAAAAGACACUCCCACCAGUGCAAUGACAAUGUACAAAUGCCUUGGCAACAUCAAGAAGUUACCCUAUAUGGUUUAAAAAUGCAGCAACAUGGAUGCAGGGGGAGGCCAUAAUCAUAAGGGAGUUAACACAAGAAGAAACAACAAAAUUCCACAUGUUUUCAUGGAUAAGUGGGAGCUUAACACUGAGCAUGGGAACAUGAACAUGAACACGAGAAAUAUAGACACUGUGGACUCCUAGAGAUCCAUCUUAUUCUGAUUGAAAAAGAGGUUUGCUAUUAUUUCAAUCUUCUUAAAUUUGUUAAGACUUGGUUUGUGGUGUAACAUGUAACUUGUCCUGGAGAAUGUUCCAGGUGUGCUUGAAAAGGAUGUCUAUUCUGCAAAAUGGAUAUGCAAAAAUGGCUAGCAUUCCUAUACACCAACAAUAGGCAAGCAGGGAGCCAAAUCAUGAUUGAACUCCCAUUCACAAUUUCUACACAAAGACGGAAAUACCUAGAAACACAGCUAACAAGGGAAAUGAAGGACCUCUUUAAGGAGAACCACAAACCACUUCUCAAAGGAAUCAGAGA